CGAAACCGAUAGCGAACAAGUACCGUGAGGGAAAGUUGAAAAGUACUCUGAAUAGAGAGUUAAAUAGUACGUGAAACCGCUUAGGGGUUAAGCCCGAUGAACCCGAAUAUCUGAUGUGAGAAAUUCAAUACUGUUUAUUCAACGGAUAGUAUGCACUUUUCUCAUAGUAAGACAUUGUAAUCCAUUGAUGCUAUAUCUCUUUCAUUUACGGAAGAGAUGAUUUAACAUACGGACAAGAUGUAUAUGAUUAUUCUAUCAGUGAUGUGUUUUACAUGUCAUAUGAAUAAGAUCGUUUUGUACCUGUUUAAAUAGUCGAUGGAUUUUAACUGAAUCAUGCUUGCAAUUUAUUUUGCGUUUCGUAUUAUUGGCCACUCGUUGGUUGAUAAUAGCAGAAAUUGCAUGCAUUCGAUUAACAAUGCGAUAGAUUUGGGAUACUUUCAGGACCCG
This 447-nucleotide ribosomal RNA is filed under the name Orseolia oryzae (Asian rice gall midge). Its description in RNAcentral is "partial large subunit ribosomal RNA". It matches the Rfam family "Eukaryotic large subunit ribosomal RNA", at positions 329 to 651 of the family's 3401-position model. The record is from RNAcentral. Lineage: Eukaryota; Metazoa; Arthropoda; Insecta; Diptera; Cecidomyiidae.